AUUUUAGUUUCUUAUUGAGAAAUCUUUGCAGCGCCAAGAAAUCUGUAAUGUUCAGGUUGAUAAUAAUAAGUUUCUUACUUCAACACCAAAUAAAAUUUCUACCUACAAAUUAAAAUUACGGGCUAGAAAAGAAAUUCCAGCUUCUCCAUUGAAUGAAACAGAAAAUGCAGAGACCAGUGCUGAAGAAGACCUUGGCUUAGAAAUACAUUCAAUUAAU
Non-coding RNA from Hydra vulgaris (swiftwater hydra), 217 nucleotides. The record is from RefSeq and is a predicted model, not a curated record. Lineage: Eukaryota; Metazoa; Cnidaria; Hydrozoa; Anthoathecata; Hydridae.